GCAGUCGAGCGGACAGAUGGGAGCUUGCUCCCUGAUGUCAGCGGCGGACGGGUGAGUAACACGUGGGUAACCUGCCUGUAAGACUGGGAUAACUCCGGGAAACCGGGGCUAAUACCGGAUGCUUGAUUGAACCGCAUGGUUCAAUUAUAAAAGGUGGCUUUUAGCUACCACUUACAGAUGGACCCGCGGCGCAUUAGCUAGUUGGUGAGGUAACGGCUCACCAAGGCAACGAUGCGUAGCCGACCUGAGAGGGUGAUCGGCCACACUGGGACUGAGACACGGCCCAGACUCCUACGGGAGGCAGCAGUAGGGAAUCUUCCGCAGUGGA
RNAcentral lists this ribosomal RNA (328 nucleotides) under Bacillus licheniformis. RNAcentral describes it as "bacterial SSU rRNA". It matches the Rfam family "Bacterial small subunit ribosomal RNA", at positions 57 to 375 of the family's 1533-position model. The record is from RNAcentral. Lineage: Bacteria; Bacillati; Bacillota; Bacilli; Caryophanales; Bacillaceae.